AUUGAACGCUGGCGGCAGGCCUAACACAUGCAAGUCGAGCGAGCGGCGGACGGGCGAGUAAUGUAUGGGGACUGCCCGAUCGAGGGGGAUAACUACUGGAAACGGUGGCUACUACCGCAUACUAUCGGAUAACCCAUAGGGGAGUAGCUAGUAGGUGGGUGAAAGGCUCACCUAGGCGACGAUCUCUAGCUGGCCUGAGAGGCUGAUCAGCCACACUGGGACUGAGACACGGCCCAGACUCCUACGGAGGCAGCAGUGGGGAAUAUUGGGCAAUGGGCGAAAGCCUGAUGGAGCCAUGCCGCGUGUGUGAAGAAGGCCUUAGGGUUGUAAAGUACUUUCGGCGGGGAGGCGGUACCCGCAGAGGAAGCACCGGCUAACUCCGUGCCAGCAGCCGCGGUAAUAC
Molecule: ribosomal RNA, 403 nt
Filed under: uncultured bacterium
Lineage: Bacteria
Description: partial 16S ribosomal RNA
Rfam family: Bacterial small subunit ribosomal RNA
Source: RNAcentral